This 497-nucleotide ribosomal RNA is filed under the name uncultured bacterium. RNAcentral's name for it is "partial 16S ribosomal RNA". It matches the Rfam family "Bacterial small subunit ribosomal RNA", at positions 28 to 507 of the family's 1533-position model. The record is from RNAcentral.
GAUGAACGCUGGCGGCGUGCCUAAUACAUGCAAGUCGAGCGAACAGACGAGGAGCUUGCUCCUCUGACGUUAGAGGCGGACGGGUGAGUAACACGUGGAUAACCUACCUAUAAGACUGGGAUAACUUCGGGAAACCGGAGCUAAUACCGGAUAAUAUAUUGAACCGCAGGGUUCAAUAGUGAAAGCCGGUUUUGCUGGCACUUAUAGAUGUCUCCGCGCCGCAUUAGCUAGUUGGUAAGGUAACGAGUUACGAAGGCAACGAUGCGUAGCCGACCUGUGAGGGGGGUCGGCGACCUUGGAACUGGGACACGGUCCAUACGCCUACGGGAGGCAGCAGUAGCGAAUCGUCCGCAAUGGGCGGAAGUCUUGCGGAACGGCCCCGCGUGAGAGACGAAGAUCUUCCGAUCGGAAAACUCUGUUUUGAGUGAAGAACAAAUUUGUACGGAACUAUGCACGGCGUGACCGUUACUUGUCAGAAAGCCACCGCUAACUACGUU